GGAACUCUGAUGCAGCGACGCCGUGUGAGCGAUGAAGGUAAUUCGUUUCGUAAAGCUCUGUUCUAGUAGGGAAGAAAAGGACUGUACCAUAGGAGAAAGCCCCGGCUAAAUACGUGCCAGCAGCCGCGGUAAUACGUAUGGGGCGAGCGUUUGUCCGGAAUUAUUGGGCGUAAAGGGUACGCAGGCGGUUUUGCCAAGUUGGAUGUGAAAUCUUGUAGCUCAACUACAAACGUGCAUCCAAAACUGGCUAACUUGAGUUAAGGAGAGGUAAGUGGAAUUCCUGGUGUAGCGGUGGAAUGCGUAGAUAUCAGGAGGAAUACCGGUGGCGAAGGCGACUUACUGGACUUAUACUGACGCUGAGGUACGAAAGCGUGGGGAGCAAACAGGAUUAGAUACCCUGGUAGUCCACGCCGUAAACGAUGAGUGCUAGGUGUCGGGGGUCAAACCUCGGUGCCGACGUUAACACAUUAAGCACUCCGCCUGGGGAGUACGUGCGCAAGCAUG
Molecule: ribosomal RNA, 504 nt
Filed under: uncultured Bacillota bacterium
Lineage: Bacteria; Bacillati; Bacillota
Description: bacterial SSU rRNA
Rfam family: Bacterial small subunit ribosomal RNA
Source: RNAcentral